Prunus persica (peach) is the source of this 956-nucleotide long non-coding RNA. RefSeq lists it as uncharacterized. The transcript has 2 exons. The record is from RefSeq and is a predicted model, not a curated record. NCBI's taxonomy places the organism in Eukaryota, Viridiplantae, Streptophyta, Magnoliopsida, Rosales, Rosaceae.
AUUGGAAUGGCACCCAAGAAAGAAAGUGCUUGACACUAAUUAAGUUUUCAUGGAACUUUAAAACACAACAUUAAAGAAAAUGAAAAUUUGUAAGGGACUUGUAGUUCAAGUGGUUAAAAAUAAUUACCUCUGCACCCGAGGUUGUAGGUUUGAUUCUCCCCUCCUCCAAUAUCGCUUUGUAUCAAAUUAAAGAAAAAUGAAAAUGAAAUUUUUAAUAACAAGACUAGCUAGGGUUUGUGUCCCGAAGGAACAUGUGUGGGCUAGGAGACAUUCUUGAUAUUUCCUUCAUCUCAUUUGGCCACUUGUGAAGAUACAAAAUUGGUUUGCGGGAGUUGUGUGGCACUCAAAAUUAAACCCCAAAUUCCAAUAAAUAGAAGAAAAAACAUGUGAACUAAAGAGCAUAUGCAGGUUUAGAUCUCUACUCUUGGUGCUUAUGAACCCAACAUAUCUACCCUACAAGCUAAUCUCAGCCGACCCCCUUCUCAACACAAUCUGUUCUUGCAUCCAAACUAAGCAAAUUUAUGUGGGAGAUCCCCAUGUCAGAUUCAGAGCAUUUUGAUUAUGCACAAGGUCGACGAAAGAGACUUGUACCAGAAAAGCUUCACAAGCUGACUAAUAUCUUCCAUGCAAAUUCAGCUUUCUUCACCCAUGUGUGUUGGGAUUUUAGUUCUUCAUAUUCUUCAAGCCUUAAAUGUUUUGUUGCGCGGAAACACACCGAAGGCUGUGCUGGGCUGUAGGGAAGUUUUGAAGAAAAAAACAACAAUAAAAUUAUCUACUACAAGAAGUAUGCUGCCCUUUGGUUUCUUCAUCUCAAAAUAUGCAUUAUCUACUGUCUUGUUGUUGUUGAAAUUAUAUGGCAAAAGGUUUUAAUAAGGAAAAAAAAAAAAUGCGCCUGUAUGGCUCACCAUCAACUAUAAAACUAUAUGUUUUCUCUUUUAAGAACGGAAAAAUAUGUU